CUGCAUGGAGCCGACCUUGAAAUACCACCCUUUAAUGUUUGAUGUUCUAACGUGGACCCGUGAUCCGGGUUGCGGACAGUGUCUGGUGGGUAGUUUGACUGGGGCGGUCUCCUCCUAAAGAGUAACGGAGGAGCACGAAGGUUGGCUAAUCCUGGUCGGACAUCAGGAGGUUAGUGCAAUGGCAUAAGCCAGCUUGACUGCGAGCGUGACGGCGCGAGCAGGUGCGAAAGCAGGUCAUAGUGAUCCGGUGGUUCUGAAUGGAAGGGCCAUCGCUCAACGGAUAAAAGGUACUCCGGGGAUAACAGGCUGAUACCGCCCAAGAGUUCAUAUCGACGGCGGUGUUUGGCACCUCGAUGUCGGCUCAUCACAUCCUGGGGCUGAAGUAGGUCCCAAGGGUAUGGCUGUUCGCCAUUUAAAGUGGUACGCGAGCUGGGUUUAGAACGUCGUGAGACAGUUCGGUCCCUAUCUGCCGUGGGCGCUGGAGAACUGAGGGGGGCUGCUCCUAGUACGAGAGGACCGGAGUGGACGCAUCACUGGUGUUCGGGUUGUCAUGCCAAUGGCACUGCCCGGUAGCUAAAUGCGGAAGAGAUAAGUGCUGAAAGCAUCUAAGCACGAAACUUGCCCCGA
Molecule: ribosomal RNA, 627 nt
Filed under: Salmonella enterica subsp. enterica serovar Infantis
Lineage: Bacteria; Pseudomonadati; Pseudomonadota; Gammaproteobacteria; Enterobacterales; Enterobacteriaceae
Also listed under: 4 other names
Description: partial 23S ribosomal RNA
Rfam family: Bacterial large subunit ribosomal RNA
Source: RNAcentral